GAGUGAUCGAAAGAUGAAAAGCACUUUGAAAAGAGAGUUAAACAGCACGUGAAAUUGUUGAAAGGGAAGCGUUGGGCACCAGACUCGCCCGGGAGGGCUCAGCCGGCACGUGUGUCGGUGCACUCCUUCCUGGGCGGGCCAGCGUCGGUUUGGGCGGCCGGUCAAAGGCCCCGGGAAUGUAGCACCCUCCGGGGUGCCUUAUAGCCUGGGGUGCCAUGCGACCUGCCCGGACCGAGGAACGCGCUCCGGCUCGGACGCUGGCGUAAUGGUGGUCAACGGC
RNAcentral lists this ribosomal RNA (280 nucleotides) under Talaromyces islandicus. Its description in RNAcentral is "partial large subunit ribosomal RNA". It matches the Rfam family "Eukaryotic large subunit ribosomal RNA", at positions 351 to 648 of the family's 3401-position model. The record is from RNAcentral. Lineage: Eukaryota; Fungi; Ascomycota; Eurotiomycetes; Eurotiales; Trichocomaceae.